GAUGAACGCUAGCUACAGGCUCAACACAUGCAAGUCGAGGGGAAACGACAUCGAAAGCUUGCUUUUGAUGGGCGUCGACCGGCGCACGGGUGAGUAACGCGUAUCCAGCCUGCCCACCACUUGGGGAUAACCUUGCGAAAGUAAGACUAAUACCCAAUGAUAUCUCUAGAAGACAUCUGAAGGAGAUUAAAGAUUUAUCGGUGAUGGAGGGGGAUGCGUCUGAUUAGCUUGUUGGCGGGGUAACGGCCCACCAAGGCGACGAUCAGUGGGGGGUCUGAGAGGAAGGUCCCCCACAUUGGAACUGAGACACGGUCCAAACUCCUACGGGAGGCAGCAGUGAGGAAUAUUGGUCAAUGGGCGAGAGCUUGAACCAGCCAAGUAGCGUGCAGGAUGACGGCCCUAUGGGUUGUAAACUGCUUUUAUAAGGGAAUAAAGUGAGCCUCGUGAGGCUUUUUGCAUGUACCUUAUGAAUAAGGACCGGCUAAUUCCGUGCCAGCCGCCGCCGUAA
RNAcentral lists this ribosomal RNA (508 nucleotides) under uncultured bacterium. Its description in RNAcentral is "partial 16S ribosomal RNA". It matches the Rfam family "Bacterial small subunit ribosomal RNA", at positions 28 to 523 of the family's 1533-position model. The record is from RNAcentral.